Long non-coding RNA from Alexandromys fortis (reed vole), 339 nucleotides. RefSeq lists it as uncharacterized. The record is from RefSeq and is a predicted model, not a curated record. The transcript has 3 exons. Lineage: Eukaryota; Metazoa; Chordata; Mammalia; Rodentia; Cricetidae.
UAAAAACAGUGACUCCUACCUCAAGGCAUCAGCCAGAUUCAAGAUGGAUGAAGCCCUAAACACACAUGGUUUCUAGUAUACCAACUGCCACUGUGAUCAAAUACCCUGAUGACAGCAACGGACCCUUAAUGGGGGAUACAUGGAUGACCUGGGGAAACCAUGAAUAAUGGAUAGACAGCACAUGCCACUUUUAUGAACUACUAAUAGCAGAAGAUGAAACUGCCUGGAGAUGGAGUGUCCUGGUGACAGUGCCUUUAUUCUUCCUUCUUGAAGUCCCCAUGGUCUGGAACAGUCCCAGCAUGGCUCACAUGUACAAAGUGAAGAUUCAUUCCUGAGACA